Arachis ipaensis is the source of this 182-nucleotide non-coding RNA. Lineage: Eukaryota; Viridiplantae; Streptophyta; Magnoliopsida; Fabales; Fabaceae. The record is from RefSeq and is a predicted model, not a curated record.
AUUAAAAGUCAUUAGUUUGUUUUAUCCCUUUAUCAUUUUUAUGCAUAGAAAAAAAUUGAAAAAUAAAUAAAUAAGUACAUAUAAUAAAAGUGGCUUCACCUACACGUUACAACUAGAAAGGAGUAAGGAAAAACUCUGAAGCAAAACAAAAGCCUAAUAGAACAAUGAUGGUGACUUGAAAA